RNAcentral lists this small RNA (4982 nucleotides) under Rattus norvegicus (Norway rat). Its description in RNAcentral is "uncharacterized LOC102555623". The record is from RNAcentral. Lineage: Eukaryota; Metazoa; Chordata; Mammalia; Rodentia; Muridae.
UUUACUUUUUAAAUGUUUCUAUCACUAUGUUUCUAUCAUUCUUAAGAUGUACAACAAUAGUAUUUAGAAAAUAAAUAUAUCCAUUACUACAUGCCUGACAGCAUCCAGCACCACGUAGCAUUCUAAGUAGAAGUCUCAGAAGAGAACUGCAAUGGAAAGUGUAUGAGCUGUGUGGUUUGCAGCAUCAGCACCAAACCCAUCCAUCGUCCUGGAACAUGAGGAACAGUCCCUGGACUGACAAAUGAGUAGGCUGGCAAAGCAGAGUGAUCUCAUGUGACCACGACGAGCCUGUGAAGUAGGUCUUAACUAUCUUUGUUUUGUAGCAAGGAAACAGGCACACAGAGUUCAACAGUCAAGGUCACAAGCUAAGCAGCCAAGGUCACAGAGCUAAUCAAUACUGGGGGCAUUGAAUGAGAUCUUCUGGUUCUUCCCCCAGCCUGAUGCCCAUUCACGGAAGCUUCAUUUUCCGCAACCUUAACUUAACAGGACCCACUAUAUUCCUCCUGUAAAGGAGAAACCGUAAUUUAUAUGUCAUAAGUUAAAACAAAUGGCUGGAGAGAUUUUCCCUACAAUUGGAUUGCUCGUUUAUAAAUGCACAAAAUCUUAUAAUUCAACCGAUUUUGAAGAAGGAGAGAGGAGACACCAAUUGCUGGUAGUGGCCAGAGCAGAAAAUGAAAAAUGUCAAGGCCUGACUGAAUGUCUAUUCAUCUUCCCCUCUUUGUCCUGUGGGUGGUCAGCUGCUUCCUAUUUAACUAACAUUUACCUCACGACAACACACUUGCUUUUACACUGAGAGCUAUCACUAUAAAUCUGCUCGAUUGAUCUGUUAAACUAACAAAAUAGAAAUGGACUGCAAGUAGGAAAAUGAGCCCAAGCCCAACAGACUUUGAAAAUAGUAGAGGAGGGGGAUAAGACUCUGUGGCUGUGGAGCCCCACCCAUCCUCCUGGGUAACAGCAGAGCCCACAUCGGGGAACGGUUAUUUCAGACCAUGGCCCACAAGGCGCAGGUGAUAGAUACCUACUGCUGGCUGUUCCCUCCGGGCCCCACAUUCCUCCACCAACCUCGUGAUUCGCACAGGUUCCCGUUCUAAACCCAGGCUGGGCUCUGCACACAUAAUGUGCUCUCUCUCCUGAUCUUUGCUUUUCAGGGGAAGGCAAACAGAAACUGAAAGAUCAGGUCCUGGCUAAGAAAAAGAAGAUUUUCUUUCACUCUGGGCCAAAGGGGAGCACUGCUGAAACAUAAAAAUAAAAAUGAAAAAUGAAAAAUAAAGACAGCACCUUCACCGUCAGGGCCCUUUCAAACAGUAAAAUCUGUCUCUUUAUCCCAGCUCCUGCAGACACCAUCCAGGAGAAUCUGGGCAGAGCAGCACACCGACUCUGUUUGUUUGACUAGGUCUCUGACGGGUGAAGGUGUCACAUGACAGCCGUAUGGACAUCAGUCUCAGCAGCCUGGAAGACAUUUCCCCGACACUUUCAGAGGCCUGACUGAAUCACCAGUUCAAUGUUUUGUUUUGUUUUGUUUUGUUUUAAUCCAACCUGCUCUGAGUCAGGGGUCUUUUUCUUCAAAUUAACUUACUGACAGCACUGAAACCCUGACGGAAGGUUGAAUUUUUUUAAGGUAAAAAGUGAAUCGGAGGACAGUUUGAUAAGAAGGCCCAGAAGCUAUAAAUAUGUGCGUGAGAUCUGGGAGGACGUGGUCAUGCCCUUCCCAGCAAGCACACAGCGGAUUCACGGUGCUGUUUACUGAAGUGCUCUAAAUUUAGAAGAAGCAAGUCGAAUGGAGCCCUGCUCUGUGAGUCAGCCAAGAGCUAUCUGAUCCUCCCUUGCAGGGCCCGGUAGAGAAGAGAACUCUGAGGCCCCCAUGGGGGAAUCACCUCCAGGGGUUAUUCCUGUGACCAAACAUAGCCUUGCUGGUCAGAAAGUUUGCACGGCAGGGGGCUGCUCCUCUGUAUUAGGUCCUUCUAGCAGAGCAGACUCACCCACAGGCUGGAAGAGACAAAGGGUGAUGCUCUUGGGCAGUUCUGGCUGGCUUCCCGGUGCUUCAAACUUAUGGUACAACUGGUUGAAUCUUCUCUAGAGGUGAAGACCAUGAAUGAAUCUUCCAGGCUGGAUGCACAAGGCAUGGGUGACAGCCUGGAAUCCUGAAUCUUGAUCUGGUUUUUAAAACGCUGCAAAGGCCGAUGUGCUUAGAUUUUUAUGUAUAUGAAGUCUUUACAAUUGCAGAAUUGGUAUUUCUUCACCUGUGCUUCAAAAAUAACUUUUUUUAAUUUAAAAACUGCGUGACUCAGCACCUGAUAUUGCCACAUGGUUAAACUAAAUCCGUUUAAGACAAAAAGUGAGCCCAAAGGAGUCCCAGCUCACAGGCUGAGAAUUGUCCCUCUAAGCCCUGCUGUGUCUACCACAUCCCUGAGGCAAACUCUUCAUUUAUCUACCAGGAUUUUGACGAGAGAUCUACGUGUCACUAAUACAGGCAGGCUUCUGGCUGCUGUGCCUGUGGUAGAUGGAUCGAGCUAAGUGAUCGUGGGGUUACUCUCCUGGCACAUCAUUUCUACUCUCCGACAAAAUCCACCCGUCUAAGUUCCUCUCCCUGAAGGCUACAAAACCAGAAAGGCUUGGCUGAAUCUGUUUCGAAACACAAAUCCAGGAUUAGAGAAGAACUCUACUGUUUGGAAUAGUGGUGGACUCGAUUCUUUGGAAUAUCUUGGUGAGUGAAAUGAAGUCACCAGCAAUAUUUUCUCCACACUGGUCACCGUGGGAACCGAAAGCAGUGAAGCCCAGUGGACUGACAACUGAGACGAUGCAGAUGCCACAGUAUGGGGGUCUAGGGGGCCAUCCUAAGAUGGGUAACACUUUGCUCAGAAGCUGGGACACCUACUGCUUCCUGCCCAGAUACAUCCCUAAGUAAGGUGCUCAUUUCAACCCCUGUACACAAUUUAAAUUCUAUACCAUAAUAUAAGGAACGAGAAGCAUGAUUACUGCCUUUUAGAGGCCCCUCUAAAUACCACAGCAGAACCAGCCAGAUAGACAAAUCAUUUCACAAAAGAAACGCAGUAAAUGACAAAUAGGAAAUCAAAAGGGCCCAGGGUCUGACUGGGACAGAGAACACUACCACCAGCCUUUGUGGAUGUGAUUAUGGGUUCUGAUUCCCAUUGUCUAAUCAAGGCUGAAGUGGCCCCUUGGAAGCAGUGCCCAAGCGACACAGCUGAUUUCAAAUGGACUUGUUCCCAACAUGGACUUGGUACAAGUCGUGAGAUCUAAAGUCAGAGUUUGAAACAUAAACCUGUCUCUCUAAAGCCAAGCUUCUCGUUGAACCUAAGGGUUUUCCAUGGGUACCAAGUAAAGCACGGGGCUGGGGACAACCAAAUGUUGGUUGCAAAUAUGGUUAUUUUGCAAAUAUGUUAUUUUCUGAGUGUCGAUGUAUAUUCAUAUACACUGUUUGACAUUCAUUCUAUGCAGGGUUGCAUGGCCAUUAUCCUGAAAUGGGUCUUACAGGUGAUUCAAAUGGUUUUCAAGGAGGAUUUUGGCUCCCCUUACUUUUUGUGUUAAGAUACAUUUCAGUGUCCAGACCAGUGUCCAGCAUGGGACAUACUGAGAAAACAAGAACAUAGAUGUUGUCCAGCACCCAAGUACUGAUCCAGACCUGCUUGUUAAUACAGUGGUAUCUCUUCUGGGAUAAAGACAAGAGAUAAGUGUGUGUAGCCCCGAGCGUGUGAGCUUAGCAACUCAGAACUAGGAGAACGUAUUUCCAAGUUUGUAUUCACAUGGGAAAAUUUAUACGUAUUAGCUUGGAUGCGGAUGGCUUUCCUGUCUGUGUUUCUCUAUGUAGCCAGAAAAACCUUCUGGACUUGUUUCUAUUCCAAGAGGCUGCAUGAAUGGUAAAACAUACAGAUGCCAACUUGAGUCAUAUAGAAGGGAACACGUGUUUUCGGGACAUACUAAAAUAGCACAGUAAAAUCGGGCAGGUGUUUGAUCAGGGAAUACGAAACCGUCUUCUCCAAAGACUCUGGAGGUUUUUUUUACUUGAAUGUUUUCAGCAAAAUAAACGGUUACUAGGAAAACAUGCUGUAAACGUAAGAAGGGUCUGCUGGCUUGAAAUGUGGCUGGCUGAUUUCUCCUUCCUUUGUAAUCCCAUUAAGCUCGGUAGCAAAACUCAGCCCUCCUGGCAGCUCUUCUCACCCGCAGCUGCCGGCAGAAAGUGCUCAGUGCCCAGAGUAAAGUCUUCAUUGGUUAAUGACCCUUGACCUUUCAUAGGUGGUGUCUUCCGUGGCAACACUUAGCUUGGAGGCUCCUACAUGAUAUACAGACUGACCAAGAGACAGCAUGGAAUUUCGUUGGAGUCCAAGGCUGGCGUGAUAAAAGGGAAUUACACACCCAAAGAUGUCUAUUCUGGAUUGACUCAACUGUUGAGUUAAUUUUUUUUUUAUUUAGGAUAUAGUGAUUUCUAAUUUGUACUGAUAACAAUCUAUUAGAGUUCUAACUGAUCUUGGUUGUCCAGACAGAAGGCAAGCAAAAUUUAAAAGAUGAUUUUUGCUACUUUUGGGUCUUGUUUCUAAGAACUUUGAAUGUGGCUUUUAAAACAUCAUUAAUACUGCGUACGGGCUGAAGCAUUUAAUGCCUCAUUUAUAGAUCAUUCUUUCUAUUCAGCUAGCAAAAAUCUCCCUGAAUUUUGGCAGUUUGUCUCCAUUAAUUUCAAAUAAACAUUUUAACCACGGACUCAAUAGCACUGAGUGUGUGCUCGGACCCCACUCUCCAGCCAUUUGCAGGUUAGAUUGUUCCUAAAAUGGGCCAGACCCUUCUCUGGGCGGAAGAGGGAGAAAUGUGAGUGAAAGUGGUGGUGGGGGGAUACUAAUGAAGAAAGAAUGAAAAGUUUUACGUUUAUGAAGCCUUUUAUUGUCCGAAAUGUUGGGGGGGGGGAAACAAGUCAAACAUGAUCCUCCUCCUUGCUCUCACUCUUUAUUUCCCCACCAGGCCCCAGUCUCCCC